AAGCUGUGGACAUUAAUGCUUAAAGUAGCUAGCUAGAAAAAGUACCAAAAGGCUUAAAGCAUAUAUAAUUAUUAAAUAUUUUGGAGCAAAUUAAGUUUAGUACGUAGUAAUAUUAUAUCAAUCUCAAGUAGUAGUAGUAGACUAUGUUUGAGUUUAAACGCUUAGACUAAAUCGCUCUCGAACGCCAGAAAUAUAAGUAGCAGCUUUCAUAUAUCAAUGCUUUCGUCUCCAGCAGCAUACAGGUGGGCGGUGGCGGUACUGGCGGGGGGGCUAUGAUCAAACUUCCAAUACGAGUCGGGUAUAACUGCAAACCCUACCGACGGAGUAGAAGAAGAAGCAAUAUUUUGCUUUGCAAUUGGUUGAUCAGAUAUUAUUUGACUACUACUCGAAUUUGAGGAUGUUCGAUGAAAAUUAGACAUUGUCAGCUGCUUGGCCUUCAUCAUCAAACCCUUGCCCAGCUUGUAUUCCAUUAAUUCUCACCUACUUCUAUUCUUUCUUCGAUCUUGUUUGUUUAGUAAUCUGCAAUAUAUAUAUAUAUAUAUGCGAACUGGCUAGAUAUAUAAAUAUAUAUGAUGAGGUUUAAGUACUG
RNAcentral lists this long non-coding RNA (589 nucleotides) under Panax ginseng (ginseng). RNAcentral describes it as "long non-coding RNA (PGIN_LNC013982)". Lineage: Eukaryota; Viridiplantae; Streptophyta; Magnoliopsida; Apiales; Araliaceae. The record is from RNAcentral.